UACGAAGGGUGCGGGCGUUAUUCGGAAUCACUGGGCGUAAAGGGUGCGUAGACGGUAUGUUAAGUUUGUUGUUAAAGGCUCCGGCCUAACUGGAGUAUUGCGAUGAAAACUGGCAAACUAGAGGGUGAGAGAGAGAAGUGGAAUUCCCGGAGUAGCGGUAAAAUGCGUGGAUCUCGGGAGGAACACCAAUGGCGAAGGCAGCUUCUUGGCUCAUACCUGACGUUGAGGCACGAAAGCGUGGGGAGCAAACAGG
RNAcentral lists this ribosomal RNA (253 nucleotides) under uncultured bacterium. RNAcentral's name for it is "partial 16S ribosomal RNA". It matches the Rfam family "Bacterial small subunit ribosomal RNA", at positions 524 to 776 of the family's 1533-position model. The record is from RNAcentral.